GAUGACUGGAUUUGUAAAGCGC
This 22-nucleotide microRNA is filed under the name Oreochromis niloticus (Nile tilapia). Its description in RNAcentral is "oni-miR-10597a". Lineage: Eukaryota; Metazoa; Chordata; Actinopteri; Cichliformes; Cichlidae. The record is from miRBase by way of RNAcentral.